GACGAACGCUGGCGGCGUGCUUAACACAUGCAAGUCGAACGGAAAGGCCCUGCUUUUGUGGGGUGCUCGAGUGGUGAACGGGUGAGUAACACGUGAGUAACCUGCCCUUGACUUUGGGAUAACUUCAGGAAACUGGGGCUAAUACCGGAUAGGAGCUCCUACUGCAUGGUGGGGGUUGGAAAGUUUCGGCGGUUGGGGAUGGACUCGCGGCUUAUCAGCUUGUUGGUGGGGUAGUGGCUUACCAAGGCUUUGACGGGUAGCCGGCCUGAGAGGGUGACCGGCCACAUUGGGACUGAGAUACGGCCCAGACUCCUACGGGAGGCAGCAGUGGGGAAUAUUGCACAAUGGGCGGAAGCCUGAUGCAGCAACGCCGCGUGCGGGAUGACGGCCUUCGGGUUGUAAACCGCUUUCGCCUGUGACGAAGCGUGAGUGACGGUAAUGGGUAAAGAAGCACCGGCUAACUACGUG
Molecule: ribosomal RNA, 468 nt
Filed under: uncultured bacterium
Lineage: Bacteria
Description: partial 16S ribosomal RNA
Rfam family: Bacterial small subunit ribosomal RNA
Source: RNAcentral